RNAcentral lists this ribosomal RNA (200 nucleotides) under uncultured bacterium. RNAcentral describes it as "partial 16S ribosomal RNA". It matches the Rfam family "Bacterial small subunit ribosomal RNA", at positions 28 to 226 of the family's 1533-position model. The record is from RNAcentral.
GAUGAACGCUAGCGGCAGGCUUAAUACAUGUAAGUCGAGGGGCAGCACAGUAGCAAUACUGGGUGGCGACCGGCAAACGGGUGCGGAACACGUACGCAACCUUCCUUCAAAUGGGGGAUAGCCCACCGAAAGGUGGAUUAAUACCCCGUGGUAUUAUUGGAUGGCAUCAUUUGAUAAUUAAAGUUCCAACGGUUCAAGAU